CCCUUAGAUGUUCUGGGCCGCACGCGUGCUACACUGAUGCAUUCAACGAGUCUAAAACCUGGUCUGAUAGGGCUGGGUAAUCUUUUGAAAGUGCAUCGUGAUUGGGAUAGAUGAUUGCAAUUCUUCAUCUUCAACGAGGAAUGCCUAGUAAACGCAAGUCAUCAGCUUGCAUUGAUUACGUCCCUGCCCUUUGUACACACCGCCCGUCGCUCCUACCGAUUGAAUGAUCCGAUGAAUACCAUGGAUUGAGAGUACGAAUAGGUUCGCUUAUUUCUGCUUCGCGAGAAGUGGAGUAAAUCUUAUCAUUUAGAGGAAGGAGAAGUCGUAACA
Molecule: ribosomal RNA, 330 nt
Filed under: uncultured eukaryote
Lineage: Eukaryota
Description: partial 18S ribosomal RNA
Rfam family: Eukaryotic small subunit ribosomal RNA
Source: RNAcentral